AAAGAGGACAUACAAAAUUUGGAAUUUAAAAAUUUAUUAUUAUUAUAAUUUAUAGUUAAAAAAAGAAAAAUUUACUUUCUAUUAAUAUUUAGUGGUUUUCUUUAAGUAGUUUUCUGUGCAAGUUGUAAUUAGACUAUUCUUUUGUUUCGGUUUAUAUAUAUAUAUUAUUGUCUUUAUGAAUUUUAAGAAGCUAGUAUAUUUGGUGAUUAAUAAUUUUUAAUUCAUUAAAUUUAUUAAUUAUAGGAGAAUAUAUUGUAUUUAUAAACAAAUAAUUAAAUUAAUAUUUUAAUAAGCGAAGUAAUAAUUAAAAUUUGUAUUUAUUCAAAAUGCUUAAAGUACAUUUAAAAUCUAGACUCUAAUUUUUAUUUUAUUUUUGUAAAUGUUGAUGAUUCAGAAAGUGUUCUCUUUUUUUUUUUUCUAUCUAAACUUGAUUUUAGUCCAUUAAAUAUUUUACAAGUUUAGUUCAAAAGCUAGGCCGUAAAUUCAGAACUAAUAAAGUUAAGAUUCAAGUUCUUAGCUCGUUCCUCCCAUUUUGAUACGUGAUGUGAGCUCAUUUUGCAUGUUUUUAGCUCGUUCCUCCCAUUUUGAUACGUGAUGUGAGCUCAUUUUGCAUGUUUUAGCUCAUUUGAUUUGAGUUUUUAAUUUAUAAUUUUUACAUUUUGUUUAGUUAAAAAUUAUAAAAUUUAUAGAUUUGUUUGAAGAAAUUUAUUUAAAAAUUGUAAAAUUUAUAAAAUUUAUUUUUGUGUUAAAGUUUGUGUACUUUUGAAUAAAUUUGAUAGCUCAUUUUAAUUAAUUAAUUAUAUAACACAUAUUUAAUUAGUCAUGCAGGAAGUAAGAAUAAAUAUUUAAUUAAUUAUGUAACAAAUAUUUAAUUAAUUAUGUAACAAGCAAGAUCAUACAAUUAUGAUUAUAAAGAGAAAAGACUUAAAAAUUAUUCGUUUAACAAAAAUGGAGGCCAUAGAGGCAAUCGGUUAUUCAAGUCCAACCUCCAUUGAUUGGCUCAAUGCAGAGCCGAUGGGAUGGGCUCAACACAGAGCUAAUUGGUUCAGCAUUGAGUCGAUUGGCUCUAGGGUUUCAAGUCGGUUUUUAUCAAUUCGUCAGUAUAUUUUUAUAUUUCCAAAGCCAGAUAGUAAAAUUAAUUAGAAUUUGAAAUAAAAUAAAAUAAAUAACUAGAAUUUGAAAUAAAACAAAAUAAAUAACUAAUUGAAAAUAACAAUAAUUAGUUCAACGGUUGAAAAACUCUAAACCAACGUUUAUUGGAAAAAGCAACUCCAAAGAUUUGAAACCAAAAGCGGUUAAGAAAAAUCUAAAAUUGAAACCAAAAAAGCGAUUAAGAAAAACCUAAAAUUGAAAGUACAAUAAUCAAACAAAUGGCAAAUCAAUCAUGUAAUGAUAUGAAACACAUUAAAUUACUUAAUUAUAAUAGAAAGAUCGCUAAACAAUUAAUCAUAUGACGAUGUUUCUAAUUAGAUUCAAAAUUUUCAUUGGCAAAAUAUCAUAUUUUAAAAUUUUAGAGUUCUUAUUAUCAAAUUUAAAAUUCAAUAAUCAUGCAUAUUUAUAAAAAUUCUAACCUAAUCAUAUAUCGAUCAUAAAUUAUAAUCCUAAUAAUGUUUCUAAAAGCAAAUAACAAAAGAUAUAAAAAAUGAACGAAUGACCCAAUUUCUGGGAUGAUGAUGGAUGCAUGAUUGAAGGAACCUCAGGUUUUCUAGGAUGAUGAUGGAUGCAUGAUUGAAGGAACCCUCAGGUUGUCAUUAUAGUUCAUGGAUUUGCGAGUCUCAGGUGAUGAGGAUGUAAUUAAGUCAAAAACCGGGUAGGAAUUUAAUGCUAGAUCUGGUGCAGAGAAAUCUCAUGUUAAUUUAGAAAUAAGUUUCCAAAUAUAGGUUCUUUCUUUAGUGUCUUAUUUCCUAAAACUGUUAUUUCUUAGUGGUUUGAAUCUUUUACUGUCAACUAAAAACGAUAAUGUUUUUCUUUCUUCUCUCUGGUUUUUUUCUUUGUGUUUUUUUCAGUGUCUCUUAUGUAUCAAUCUCAUUUAUUGCCAAGUCUUAGCUGUAAAUUGUUGCCCUAAACCCGAAUCACUUUUCUCUAUUUAUAGAGGUAGGGUUUCAAGGGAAACCCUAAAUGAGACAAUAGUUUUUAGGAAGAUAUCGAUAAAUAUUUUUUAUUUUUUAAAUUUAAAUAAUUAUCAAUAAAAAUGAUGAUUAUCGUUAAGAAAAUCUUCUAGAAUAUGUAUCUAGACUUGAAAACAUCGUACAAAGAUAAUGUCAGAAUGCAAAAGACCCAUAUGUAUAGGAGUUUUAAAAAUUGCAAUUAGGUCCUUAAACUUAUGAAAAUUAUUAUUUUGACCCUCAAAUUUAAUCUUUUUAACAAUUAGGUUCAAAUUAAUUUUAAAAAGAUAAUUCCAGUUGGAUUAACCUAAACUCUAGCCUUAGAUUCACCUAUCCUUUAUUUUCCAAGAUCCGAGAAGGCAGUAACUUUCAUCAUAGGAUUUUUUAUCUUUCUCUCGAUAUAUAGAUCCGAAAAAAGGAUGCUGACAGCUGCUCCCAAUUCGUCGAAAUUUAUGAGCAUGCAAUGCGUUAAAUAGAUUGAGACAAAUUAUAGGCAUCAAGGAUAUAAUAAACGGAUAUGUGAGCUGUAGAAGCUACGCCUCGUAAACUUAAAAUUCUAUCGCUUAUUCGAUGUGGGGGCUACGCCCGCUUGGGUUGAGGACUUUGCUUACUUAUAUUGAGGACUUCGCCUGUUUGGGCUGAGGACUUCGACUUUUGGGUUGAGACUUCGCCUGCUUCGGUUGAGGACUUCGCCUGCUUAGGUUAAAGACUUUGCCUGCUUCGAUUGAGGACUUCGGCCGCUUGUAUGUUUGAGGACUUUGCCUACUUGUGUGUUUGAGGACUUCACCUAGUUUAAUUGAGGACUUUGCCCAUUUUGAUUAAAGGAUUACGCAUGUUUGAUUUAGGAAUGACGCCCAUUGAUUAUGGGAAGCACUCCCAUCUGAUUUGGGUGCCACGCCCGAUAUUUAGGAACCAUGCCCAUUGAUUUGGGAACCAUGCCCGUAUGAUUUGGGAGGCACGCCUGAUGAUUUAGGGACCACGCCCGUUGAUUUGGGAACCACAUCCGCUGAUUUUGGGAGCAUGCCUACUGAUUUGGGAACCACGCUCGUUGAUUUUGUACUUGCAAAGACUUUCCUUUGACUUCUUGAUUACUUUUUGCUUUGGGAUACAAAUAUGUUGUAAUUUUUACUUCAGGUUGUGAAUUAGCAUGUACUUUACUCUCUCAAAUAACUUCCGCUUUGGGAUAUUAAUUGAUGAUCUUCCACUGAUUGUAUUCUAUUCUAGGAUGAUGAUUAUUUCGCUUCGGGAUAUAAAUUGAUGAUCUUUAACUUUGAAAAGUAAGCUUGAUAAUAUUCGCUUGAGGAAGUAAAUUGAUAAACUUUUUCUUCGAGAACUAAACUGAUGCAUCUCCGCUCUGGAAGGGCAUGGAGCCAAAUGGUUGAUAGAAAAUGAUGAAGACGAUGAUGCAUAUCAAAAAUUUGAAAGUCAUGGUGACAAUAGGAAGUGCGGAUCUAGAGAUAACUCAAGCAUGCAAGGACUAAAUUAUUUUGCCUUGUGGUUGUACUAACAUUUGUGCAAUGACAAUUGGCUUCGUGACAAUCUCAUGCAGAUAGCAAUCAAAUCUCUUUUCUUUUCUUACUUUUACGCCAUAACUUUUGUCUAAGCCGCCCUUUCAGGUUUUCAACUUAGUAGACUUUUGUCUUAACUUUUGCCCGAGCUGCCCUUUCGGGUUUUCAGCUUACUAGACUCUAUUUCUACCUAAGCCGUCCUUUUUUUGGAUUUUCAACUUAGCGUAUUCUUUUCUUUAUAUUUUUCUUUAUUUUCUCAUUUUCUCUUUUUACAGUCUUGGUUACUCAAGAAGCUCCAACUAGUGGUAGUUCUAAGAGACAUUACCAAGUAUGAGCUAGAGCAUUUGCAGACUCGCGUCACUAUCAAGCAAAGAGCUGAUUUCACUGGUGAGGAUUAAGUUGACUGGAUGAAGAGCUUGCCAGACACCCUUAUCCAAUGGAUUUUCCCUUGGUGGAAGAUUUGACAUAUCACUCUUCGAAUAUACGUGGCAUGUGUUCUUUUGUCAAGACUUUGAGAGUCUACUUUCUAUACCCAAUCCAGGCUCUCAAGUCAAUAGCUUAUUCUAGAAUAUCCACCUAACUUCGAAGGUUUCCCAUGGAGGCAAGAUCGAUAAGUUGUGGCUUGAUGAGUGAGUGUGAUGUCAUGAUUGAUGAAGUGCUAUAAAUUCUCAAAUUUUUCCACGAGAAAUACAAGAACAUAAGUCAAAGAAAAAAUGAUCUUGCUUCUAUUUAGAUCUCAUAGAUUAUGCUUUUUAUUUUACUUUUUUUCUUCUAGUAAUAUGCAAGCAAUGAAAGUUAAUGUGCAAAUUUGGCAAAAAUUUCAAUCAAAUUUUGUUCAUUUAAUCUGCGCACAAAUGGGUAUAUUUUUUAUUUCACAUAA
Long non-coding RNA from Ricinus communis (castor bean), 4493 nucleotides. RefSeq lists it as uncharacterized. The record is from RefSeq and is a predicted model, not a curated record. The transcript is spliced from 2 exons. Lineage: Eukaryota; Viridiplantae; Streptophyta; Magnoliopsida; Malpighiales; Euphorbiaceae.